This 253-nucleotide ribosomal RNA is filed under the name uncultured bacterium. RNAcentral's name for it is "partial 16S ribosomal RNA". It matches the Rfam family "Bacterial small subunit ribosomal RNA", at positions 524 to 776 of the family's 1533-position model. The record is from RNAcentral.
GACGUAGGGCGCGAGCGUUGUCCGGAUUUAUUGGGCGUAAAGAGCUCGUAGGCGGCUUGUUGCGUCAGCUGUGAAAGCCCAUGGCUUAACUGUGGGUUGGCAGCUGAUACGGGCAGGCUAGAGUUCGGUAGGGGAGACUGGAAUUCCUGGUGUAGCGGUGGAAUGCGCAGAUAUCAGGAGGAACACCAAUGGCGAAGGCAGAUCUCUGGGCCGUAACUGACGCUGAGGAGCGAAAGCAUGGGGAGCGAACAGG